This 497-nucleotide ribosomal RNA is filed under the name uncultured bacterium. RNAcentral describes it as "partial 16S ribosomal RNA". It matches the Rfam family "Bacterial small subunit ribosomal RNA", at positions 28 to 507 of the family's 1533-position model. The record is from RNAcentral.
GAUGAACGCUGGCGGCGUGCCUAAUACAUGCAAGUCGAGCGAACGGACGAGAAGCUUGCUUUUCUGAUGUUAGCGGCGGACGGGUGAGUAACACGUGGAUAACCUACCUAUAAGACUGGGAUAACUUCGGGAAACCGGAGCUAAUACCGGAUAAUAUUUUGAACCGCAUGGUUCAAAAGUGAAAGACGGUCUUGCUGUCACUUAUAGAUGGAUCCGCGCUGCAUUAGCUAGUUGGUAAGGUAACGGCUUACCAAGGCAACGAUGCAUAGCCGACCUGAGGGGGUGGUCGGCCACACUGGAACUGAGACGCGGUCCAGACUCCUACGAGAGGCAGCAGUAGGGAAUCUUCCGCAAUGGGCGAAAGCCUGACGGAGCAGCGCCGCGUGAGUGAUGAAGGUCUUCGGAUCGUAGAACUCUGUUAUUAGGGAAGAACAUAUGUGUAAGUAACUGUGCACAUCUUGACGGUACCUAGUCAGAAAGCCACGGCUAACUACGUG